This 429-nucleotide ribosomal RNA is filed under the name Bacteroidota bacterium. RNAcentral's name for it is "Bacteroidetes bacterium partial 16S ribosomal RNA". It matches the Rfam family "Bacterial small subunit ribosomal RNA", at positions 355 to 776 of the family's 1533-position model. Lineage: Bacteria; Pseudomonadati; Bacteroidota. The record is from RNAcentral.
UAGGGAAUCUUCGGCAAUGGGGGGAACCCUGACCGAGCAACGCCGCGUGAGUGAAGAAGGUUUUCGGAUAGUAAAGCUCUGUUGUUAAGGAAGAACGAGUGUGAGAAUGGAAAGUUCAUACUGUGACGGUACUUAACCAGAAAGGGACGGCUAACUACGUGCCAGCAGCCGCGGUAAUACGUAGGUCCCGAGCGUUGUCCGGAUUUAUUGGGCGUAAAGCGAGCGCAGGCGGUUAGAUAAGUCUGAAGUUAAAGGCAGUGGCUCAACCAUUGUAGGCUUUGGAAACUGUUUGACUUGAGUGCAGAAGGGGAGAGUGGAAUUCCAUGUGUAGCGGUGAAAUGCGUAGAUAUAUGGAGGAACACCGGUGGCGAAAGCGGCUCUCUGGUCUGUAACUGACGCUGAGGCUCGAAAGCGUGGGGAGCGAACAGG